CGCACAUUGCGCCCGCCAGUAUUCUGGCGGGCAUGCCUGUCUGAGCGUCAUUUCAACCCUCAAGCAACUUCUGCUUGGUGUUGGGGAUCGGCGAGUCUUAGGACCAGCCGCCCCCUAAAUCUAUUGGCGAUCUCGCUGUAGCUUCCUAUGCGUAGUAGUAACAUCUCGCAUCUGGAGAGCGGCGCGGUCAUGCCGUAAAACACCCAACUUUUCAGGUUGACCUCAGAUCAGGUAGGAAUACCCGCUGAACUUAA
RNAcentral lists this unclassified non-coding RNA (254 nucleotides) under Nectriopsis rexiana. Its description in RNAcentral is "partial contains 5.8S ribosomal RNA, internal transcribed spacer 2, and large subunit ribosomal RNA". Lineage: Eukaryota; Fungi; Ascomycota; Sordariomycetes; Hypocreales; Bionectriaceae. The record is from RNAcentral.